GGGGUAGUAAAGGUUUCGACAGGGGUCUUGCAGCUGGAGAAGCUAUCCGUUGCGACACGUUAAACGCAAAAUUAAAAAUAAACGCUGAAGAUAAUUAUCAGUACGCACUUGCGGCUUAAUUGCUGCAGGUGACGCCGCCACAGGCGGCUUGUCCGCUCCGGGGCACUCACACGCCGGAAUCCGGGCAUCGACUAUGUGAGAAACGACGCGCGCUAAGCUUUGCCCGCGCGGGCGUAUGAUGAAGCUACCUCCCGGGACAGAUUGUUCGUUGUCUGUCCCGGGAGGGAACAGGCGGGAGAAAGUCCUGCCGGAAUAACGGACUAUGAUAGUAGAAGGACAGGGAAUGGGCUUUUGGACAGGGGUUCGACUCCCCUCUACUCCAC
RNAcentral lists this transfer-messenger RNA (383 nucleotides) under Acetatifactor muris. Its description in RNAcentral is "transfer-messenger RNA, SsrA". It matches the Rfam family "transfer-messenger RNA". From Rfam's summary of the family: Bacterial tmRNA, also known as 10Sa RNA or SsrA, is named for its dual tRNA and mRNA-like properties. Its role is to liberate the mRNA from a stalled ribosome. The record is from RNAcentral. Lineage: Bacteria; Bacillati; Bacillota; Clostridia; Lachnospirales; Lachnospiraceae.